AUGGUUUAGUUUUAACAUUGUUCAUAUUGUUGUUCCCUUCGAAGUACAGAGCUAUCCUUUUGCCAGGUCAAUUUUUUAAAUAAUCUCCACACAAAUGAGCUAUGUAUCAAUAUGGUCAAGGAUACUGACGCUGAACUAUUUUCUAUGCAGUACAGACCAUAAACUUACUUGCAGCAUGCCAGCAAAAGUGGUUUCUGCCCUCUGAAACUGCAUGCUGACAGUGACCGGUUGGUCCUUCUCCGCCCCUUUCAGUGUUUCAGACAGCCAUAUCCUCUAGCAAAUUCCGGUUGGAUUGGCUCAAGGAACAAAACCAGAUGAGAUCUCUACUGCAAAAGUAUGUGCAAUACUGCCUGUUUAUAUCCUAUAAUAUUAUCUACUCAUAUCACUUCAAAACGACAUAAUAUUUGGAAAUGAUAUCCGCUGGCUUAGCCCAAUGUGUAUAUGUCGUGCAUGUGUAUAGAUACUUGGCCAACUGAAAAUUGUACCUUCUGAAUUUAUCUGUAACACAGCUUUCCCUGGACAUUGGCUGCAAAUGUUCACCACUCAACAUAUCUAUACAUACCAGGACCAUUUUGGAUGGAAAGCUACCUGUUUAGUUUAUGCUACGCCUAUUAAAGUUGUAUAGAGACCAAGGAUGGGCAUGAUAAUCUAGGCGAACGUAAAACUGUUGGCUCUACAAGUGUUCGGUUCAGUUCAGAAAAAGUUGCCGGCUGUAGAAAAAAAUUACCGUGCUUAAUUCGGCAGAGGAAAGAGGAACGUACUGAAAUCGAUUUUUUUUCUUCUGCUCGGCCACAGCCCUCCGCUCUCCUUGGUUUCUAAACGAUGUUGUUGCCCUCUCCAGCAGGCUGGCUUUACACCCCUAUGCGCGCGGCCUCUAGAUUUUUGGGCGGAGCUACCUCUGCAUCACUCACCAGCAGGGCCUGCUCACCAGCUGUGAAGGAUGACAACCUGCAAUAUAAUUGAGGCUCACUGCAGCACGCACCACAAUGGCGCUGGAACCUGCAAGCUUCGUCAAGCUUUAGGAGCUUCUCUGCUAGGUACACCUGCUAGCAUGCUAUCUUGUCCGAACACCAUCUCAUGGAAGUCUGUUUUGGCAGUAUACAUUUUUUCUCUUGCCCUUUGGUCAUGUGAGCCAGGUGAACUGUUACAAAUUUUGAUUUCUACAUCCAGUCCAAGAACCAUCUUGAUUUUAACCAAGUUCUAUAAAUAGCGAGGGAUCAAGCAACCAUUUCGACCUUGAGGUGAACAUUCCGAAUGAGAUGGACAUUGGUGUGAAAGGGAGACAUGGGAGAUUCGAUUGCAGACCUUAGCAGUUGUGGCUUAAUGUGAUCUAACCUGUUCCCUUCAGAUUUGCAUAUGAUUUUGUUAUAGAGUCUUUUUCUAACAUCAUGUUAUUCUGGGUUCAAGUGUACGCAAUACAAAUGGCCUUUGCCUUUUCUUCGCUCUUUCCAGAAUUUUAUCAUUCUUAUGGACCAUCGGUCCAUUGUUGUGGCUUAGUUUUCUAGCUUAGUGCUAUCUAAUUGGUAGGCUAUAUAUGAUAUGUGUGGGUCCUGAAAACUCACAAGAGCUAUAAUUCUUUUAUCUACUAACUGAUAAGUUGGAAUAGUAUAUGUUCCGUGUGCAUCAUGAAACUUACAAGUCUCACUAUUUUAUCACCGUUAUACGAAAUAAACAUUGGCAUGAGCUCCACGGGAUCAUGCGCCAAGGCGCACAUUUAAAUCUAUUUCUUCUACAUACAUUUUCCUUGGCCUGGAUGAUACUUGUUUUGAAUAAUAUAACUUGGAAUAUUUUUUAUUUCCUAUGGUUAGCAUGUGCUCUAUUCCCCUAGGCGGUAGUUUCUCUUGCCAUGUCCUCAUGUAUAUUUGUGUUAUAAAGUCAGCUUAGCGAAUUCGCUUUUGUUUAUUUCAGGGGGUGUUGCGGCCGAAGGAUGUAUCUACGUUUGUCUUUCCGUCAGGUAAAAGGGGUCUAGCCAGCGGGAAAGCAUGUAGAUGGUACAUCAAUAUAAACAUGCAGAUAUAAUUGCCUUUACUGCUAGUGGUCUACUAAAUUGAGCCCAUCGUAGAAUCUUUGUUGGCUAUCAAUAUGCACUGCGUCACCGGUAAGCGAUAGAGGAAAUUCCUCGCUGAAUUGAUCAAAUUUAAUCUCCUGCAUGCGACCGUUUGGAGAAACGUCUGGAGAAAAUGAGGACGAGCUACUGUUCCUAAAAUUAGAACUAAGGUUGCAUCUAUAAAAUUGAUUUGUACUCAUGUUGUGUUAUUGUGUAAGGUUGUUUAUAGCCUUUUCAGUUCAGCUAUUUUGUUCCUUUUGAAUAGCUUUUGACACGCAAUGUGUUAUCACCCCUUAUGUGAUUAGGUUACAAUGAUAUGUUUGUACUAAUUAUGUUUAUGGUGCUCUCUUUCUUUCUUAGCUUAGUAUAUAUGUCAUACAAAACAUUGAUUAAUGCCAAAGGCCAGGGCUGCUUCUUAC
Molecule: non-coding RNA, 2466 nt
Organism: Lolium perenne
Lineage: Eukaryota; Viridiplantae; Streptophyta; Magnoliopsida; Poales; Poaceae
Source: RefSeq, a predicted model, not a curated record